Manacus vitellinus (golden-collared manakin) is the source of this 1942-nucleotide long non-coding RNA. NCBI's taxonomy places the organism in Eukaryota, Metazoa, Chordata, Aves, Passeriformes, Pipridae. The record is from Ensembl.
AAUUCAUUUAAAAAUCAUUUAAAAAUCAAUUAAAAAAUGGCAAAAAAAUCAGUAAAAAAUCAUUAAAAAGUCACUAAAAAUUGUUAAAAAAUCAUAAAAAAUCAUUAAAAAAUCAUUAAAAAAUCCCAAAAAAAUCCCCAAAAAUCCCCAAAAAAUCCCCCAAAAUUCCCCAAAAAUUCCCUAAAAUUUCCCUCAUUUUUUCCCAUUUUUUCCCUCAGGUUUCCCUGUUUUUCCCCGUUUUGUACCUGCUCUUCUGGGGGGCCCUGUUGGUGUUCUCGUCCGGGGGGGCCACAAACCCCCCCAGAUCCGGCGUUUAGUAGCCUCGGGGACCCUUUUCCUGCAGCGCCUUUGCCUCCCCCACCUGAAGGAAAAAACCACCCAAAACGACCCAAAAUUGACCCAAAAAUACACAAAAAAUACCCCAAAAUACCCCCAAAAAUCACCACAAAAAUAACCCCAAAAUACCCCAAAAAUUACCCACAAAAUACCCCAAAAAUACCCCAAAAAAUCACCCAAAAAUACCCCCAAAAAUACACAAAAAAUACCCAAAAAUACCCCCAAAAUCACCACAAAAUACCCCAAAAAUACCCCCAAAAAAGAGGCAAAAUAAGCCCAAAAAUUACCCCCAAAAUACACCAAAAAUACCCCAAAAUACCCCAAAAAUAUCCAAAAAAUACCCCAAAAAUAACCCAAAAAUUACCCCAAAAACACCCCAAAAAUCACUCAAAAAAUACCCAAAAAAUAACCCCAAAAUACCCCAAAAUAACCCCAAAAAUAACCCCAAAAUACCCCCAAAAUAACCCCCAAAAUACCCAAAAAAUACACAAAAAAUACCCCAAAAAUCACCACAAAAUGCCUCAAAAAUACCCCAAAAAUAACCCCCAAAAAUCACCAAAAUGACCCAAAAAUAACCCCAAAAAAUGGGGCAAAACGACCCAAAAGUAACCCCCAAAAUGCCCCAAAAAGAGAGAAUUUUGGGGGAUCUGGGGUGGAAAUUUGGGGGAAAAAAUGGGGGGAAUUUGGGGGAAUUUGGGGAAAAUUUGGGGGGGAAAUGGGCAAAAAUUUGAGAAAAAAAAGGUCAAAAUUUGGGUAAUUUUGGGUGGAAAUUUAGGGGGAAAAUGGGAGAAAUUUGGGGGGAAUUUUGGGGGGAAAUGGGGGAAUUUUGGGAGAAAAUUUGAGGGGAAAAUGGGUAAAAUUGAGGGAAUUUGGGGGAAAAAUUGGAGAAAUUUGGAGGGGAUUUGAGGGAAAUUUGGGGGAAUUUUGGGGGGAAUUUUGGGGGAAUUUGGAGGAAUUUGGGGAAAAUUUGAGGGAAAAAAGAGGUCAAAAUUUGGGGAAAUUUUGGGGGGAAUUUGGGGGAAUUUUGGGGGGAAUUUGGGGGAAUUUUGGUGGAAUUUUGGGUGGAAUUUGGGGGGAAUUUUAGCGGGGAAAUUGGGGAAAUUUUUUGGGGCGGAAUUUUUGGGGAUUUUGGGGGAAUUUUGGUUGGAAUUUUGGGGGGAUUUGGGGAAUUUUUUGGGGGGAUUUGGGGAAUUUGGUGGAAUUUUGGUGGGAAUUUUGGGGAUUUUGGGGGAUUUUUGGGGAAUUUUGGGGGGAAUUUUGGAGUGGAAUUUUUGGGGGGAAUUUUUGGAGGAAUUUUGGGGGUGAUUUUGGGGGAAUUUUGGAGGGAAUUUGGAGGAAUUUUGGGGUGAAUUUUGGGGGAAAAUGGGUAAAAUUUGGGGGAAUUUUGGGUGGAAUUUGGGGGAAUUUGGGGUGGAAAUUCGGGGGGAAAAUGAGCCCCUCCCCCCUGAGCUGCCUUAAACCCCUCCCCCUCCUCCGCUGGCCACGCCCCCUUUUCCCCCGUUUUGUUUUUGUAGGGUCGCCAAAAAAAGAAAAAACCCCCAAAAAACAACAACGAAAAAACCCGAAAUGAAAUAAAAGAAAAUAAAAAAUUUGGGAGGAAUUUUGG